UAUGGUGAGUGAAGGACAGUUUGUAUGUUUCUUCAUUCGGGAAGAAAAGUGAGGUAUAUCAAAAUCAAAGGCAGAGAUAUCGUUUCAGUCGUCACUUCUCUUGAUUGACGAUUCGAUUGUUGCUCUUCCAGAU
Small nucleolar RNA from Mangifera indica (mango), 133 nucleotides. RefSeq annotates it as small nucleolar RNA snoR111. The transcript has a single exon. The record is from RefSeq and is a predicted model, not a curated record. Lineage: Eukaryota; Viridiplantae; Streptophyta; Magnoliopsida; Sapindales; Anacardiaceae.